Molecule: microRNA, 23 nt
Filed under: Oreochromis niloticus (Nile tilapia)
Lineage: Eukaryota; Metazoa; Chordata; Actinopteri; Cichliformes; Cichlidae
Description: oni-miR-10747
Source: miRBase by way of RNAcentral
UGACCAGCUGAUCGCCCAGAGGU